Molecule: long non-coding RNA, 619 nt
Filed under: Homo sapiens (human)
Lineage: Eukaryota; Metazoa; Chordata; Mammalia; Primates; Hominidae
Description: HSALNT0050770
Source: RNAcentral
GAUACAUGGUCAUUGCAGGAAAAUUCCAUAAUGUAUUGAAAACACACACAGACUAACUGAUGAGAUUCUUUCGCUUCCCAAGUGACAGAAUGCCAACCUAAACCAGCUUCAUCCAAGAGGAAUCUAUAGUUCACAAUAGCUGGCACAAGAUUGCAGGAAAAACACCAGAGAUUAGGGGCUUGGAGACUGGAACUGGAGAUGUAGUACUCAUAGGAUUUGCUUUCUCUGUCUUCCCUCCUCUCUCCUUGUCUUGAUUUUUCUUCACACGUUGGCCUCUUUUUCUCUCCAGAGUGAACUUCUAGUUGGCAGGAAACAUGGAGUGAGGCAGCCCCAGCUUUCCAAUUAAACACAGUGGAAGGAAAGCAUCCUCCCAAUUUCCUAUCUCAUUCUCAGGGAAGGACUCUGGCUCUGCUUGAGUGAUAGAGUGACAUGUUCACCCCUUGGCCUCCAAAACUGUUGCCAGGAGAAUUAGGGUGCUAUAUUGAGCAAGUGUACUGUAAUGGACAACCAGUGUUCACAUUUUUAGUACAAUUCUUCCAGAUUUUUUGGAUGCGUAUACAUAUACAUCCUUCUGCAGCCCCCAGUCCCGAUGAGCACAUUUCAAAGUACUAAUCAAAAA